UACGUAGGGUGCAAGCGUUGUCCGGAAUUAUUGGGCGUAAAGAGCUCGUAGGCGGUCUGUCGCGUCGGCUGUGAAAACUCGGGGCUCAACCCCGAGCCUGCAGUCGAUACGGGCAGACUAGAGUGCUGUAGGGGAGACUGGAAUUCCUGGUGUAGCGGUGAAAUGCGCAGAUAUCAGGAGGAACACCGGUGGCGAAGGCGGGUCUCUGGGCCGGAACUGACGCUAAGGAGCGAAAGCGUGGGGAGCGAACAGG
Molecule: ribosomal RNA, 253 nt
Filed under: uncultured bacterium
Lineage: Bacteria
Description: partial 16S ribosomal RNA
Rfam family: Bacterial small subunit ribosomal RNA
Source: RNAcentral